Molecule: ribosomal RNA, 267 nt
Filed under: uncultured archaeon
Lineage: Archaea
Description: partial 16S ribosomal RNA
Rfam family: Archaeal small subunit ribosomal RNA
Source: RNAcentral
AGACGUCUACAUUAGAUACCCCUGUACGUCCCAGCCGUAAACUAUGCGCGUUAGGUGUAUCGGUGACCACGAGUCACCGAGGUGCCGAAGGGAAACCGUGAAACGUGCCGCCGUGGGAAGUACGGUCGCAAGGCUAGAAACUUAAAGGAAUUGGCGGGGAGCACCACAACGGGUGGAGCCUGCGGUUUAAUUGGACUCAACGCCGGGAAGCUCACCGGAUAAGACAGCGGAAUGAUUGCCGGGCUGAAGACUCUGCAUGACUAGCUG